GCUGUGAUAGAGAAACGGUAACAAGUCAGCCCCCAAACUCCCCAUUCCUUCACUGAAGGAUGUGAAGGCAUCUAAUGGUUCUUCAAGCAUUUACUUUCGUAAAUAUUGUAACUUCUCAGUACUCAUUGGUAGAUAAAGGGAUCGUGGUUAAUAACACUUAAUAGUUAUUGUUGUAAUUGAGACUAAACUUGGGUCUCCUGCCUCCCUUUUUAUUUCUGCACUGAUCAGGCAGUAGAACGAAUAGACACUAUGACCUUGAGUUGCGUUCUGUUUGGUCUGCCCGGAAGUCUCUCUGGCACUGUGGUUAAGGACUGGAGCUCUGCCAUUUGCUCGUUGGGCGACCUUGGUCACAUUAGUCUGUUGAAGCCUUGGCUUUCCUGUCUGGAAAACAUUACAUAUUUCACAAAGAGAUAAGGAUUAAAUUGGGCAGCGUAUGAAGUGCUGCCCAUGGUGCCUGGGUACUGUUUGCUGUCCUCUUGGAAGAGCACUUCAGCUGCGUGGUGUCCUAUCUGAUUGUCGCAAGGCCCCAUGGGAAGUAGGCGAUGGGCUCGAAAUGAGCAGGGACAAGAGCAGGACUGCAGGCCGGUGCAAGGUUGCCCAACUAGCAAAUGUUUUCUGUCACAGCCCAGUCCUGAGCUCUGUCAGAUCUGCCUCUGCAGCCUGCAUCUGUCCCAGGUUACUAUGACCAGUCAGACCCUUAGCCUUCUCAGAGCCCCAUCACCCUCAUUCAUAGUCUAGAGCAGCAGUCGCCAGCCUCUUGGACCUCAGGGACCACCGCUGGUCUAGAUAACCUGGCACAGGACUCGGCAUUUAGCUGGUACUUGUUAAGUGGUAGGAGUUAGUUGGGAAAGGGAUCCCUGGAGUUAAAAGUGGUGCAGGGGGUUGGUAAGGAAGGAAAACCUUGCCGGAAGUCUCGGGGACGUACCAGU
Pipistrellus kuhlii (Kuhl's pipistrelle) is the source of this 929-nucleotide long non-coding RNA. RefSeq lists it as uncharacterized. Lineage: Eukaryota; Metazoa; Chordata; Mammalia; Chiroptera; Vespertilionidae. The record is from RefSeq and is a predicted model, not a curated record. The transcript is spliced from 2 exons.